UAGCCCUGCCUUUUUAUCUUCUUUGGUUGUUACAAGCGUCCUUUGAAUUGUUAAUACUGGAUUUCCUUGUUGACAUAGAUAUGCACCAACAGGUUCAAUAACUGUUUGUUACACCUGCAUUUUCAGUUUCUCACUGUUGAGUUAAUCUAUAAGACUUUUUUAUUGCUCUUUGUAUAGCGUAUUAUCACUGGUAAUCUGUACGUUACUAAAGUAAAAACAUUAGCCUUG
Non-coding RNA from Pelobates cultripes (western spadefoot toad), 228 nucleotides. The record is from the annotation of a GenBank genome assembly. Lineage: Eukaryota; Metazoa; Chordata; Amphibia; Anura; Pelobatidae.